RNAcentral lists this unclassified non-coding RNA (200 nucleotides) under Alatospora sp. RNAcentral's name for it is "partial internal transcribed spacer 2". The record is from RNAcentral. Lineage: Eukaryota; Fungi; Ascomycota; Leotiomycetes; Leotiales; Leotiaceae.
UUAAGUUCAGCGGGUAUCCCUACCUGAUCCGAGGUCAACCUUAUAAUAGUUGGGGUUGUUGGCAAGUAACACCUAAGACCCUGUCGCGAGAAAAUUACUACGCGUAGAGCUUAAGAGCACCGCCACUGAUUUUACGGCCCGCCUUAGCAGGUGAGGCCUAAUACCAAGCAGAGCUUGAGGGUUGUAAUGACGCUCGAACA